Molecule: ribosomal RNA, 411 nt
Filed under: uncultured bacterium
Lineage: Bacteria
Description: bacterial SSU rRNA
Rfam family: Bacterial small subunit ribosomal RNA
Source: RNAcentral
AACGAACGCUGGCGGCGUGGAUAAGACAUGCAAGUCGAACGGGAACUUCAGCUGUAGCAAUACAGUUGAAGUUUUAGUGGCGAACGGGUGCGUAACACGUGGGCAAUCUGCCGAGAAGUGGGGGAUAGCUCGCCGAAAGGCGAAUUAAUACCGCAUAUGAUCAGCUAAGACAUCUUAGCGACAUCAAAGCCGGGGGCAACCUGGCGCUUUUUGAGGAGCCCGCGGCCUAUCAGCUAGUUGGUGAGGUAACGGCUCACCAAGGCUAUGGCGGGUAGCUGGUCUGAGAGGACGACCAGUCACACUGGAACUGAGACACGGUCCAGACACCUACGGGUGCAGCAGUCGAGAAUUUUUCUCAAUGGGGCAACCCUGAAGGAGCGACGCCGCGUGGAGGAUGAAGGCUUUCGGGUU